This 556-nucleotide ribosomal RNA is filed under the name uncultured bacterium. Its description in RNAcentral is "bacterial SSU rRNA". It matches the Rfam family "Bacterial small subunit ribosomal RNA", at positions 8 to 574 of the family's 1533-position model. The record is from RNAcentral.
AGAGUUUGAUCAUGGCUCAGGACGAACGCUGGCGGCGUGCUUAACACAUGCAAGUCGAACGGCGACGGUGGAGCUUGCUCUGCCUGAUCAGUGGCGAACGGGUGAGUAACACGUGAGUAACCUGCCCCUCACUCUGGGAUAACAUCGGGAAACCGGUGCUAAUACUGGAUAUGAGAUGCCUCCGCAUGGAGAGUGUCUGGAAAGAUUUAUCGGUGGGGGAUGGACUCGCGGCCUAUCAGCUUGUUGGUGGGGUAAUGGCCCACCAAGGCGACGACGGGUAGCCGGCCUGAGAGGGCGACCGGCCACACUGGGACUGAGACACGGCCCAGACUCCUACGGGAGGCAGCAGUGGGGAAUAUUGCACAAUGGGCGAAAGCCUGAUGCAGCGACGCCGCGUGGGGGAUGAAGGCCUUCGGGUUGUAAACCACUUUCAGCAGGGAAGAAGCGAAAGUGACGGUACCUGCAGAAGAAGCGCCGGCUAACUACGUGCCAGCAGCCGCGGUAAUACGUAGGGCGCAAGCGUUGUCCGGAAUUAUUGGGCGUAAAGAGCUCGUAG